This 261-nucleotide ribosomal RNA is filed under the name Triticum aestivum (bread wheat). RNAcentral describes it as "partial small subunit ribosomal RNA". Lineage: Eukaryota; Viridiplantae; Streptophyta; Magnoliopsida; Poales; Poaceae. The record is from RNAcentral.
AUGAUAGGGCGCAUCAAGCCAGUUCAUCUUCAGGCCAUCGUUGAUAGAAUUAGAGCGAGGCUCGCGGGCUGGAAAGGGAAGCUCUUGCCGCUGGCAGGCCGCCGCGUUCUCGUAUGCUGCGUGCUAUCCGCCAUGCCAACCUUCACGUUCACGGCGCUGCAAAUACCAAAGAAGUUCCUAAAGGAGAUCGACAAGUCAAGACGGCGCUUCCUCUGGGCGGGAGACGAAGAAAUUUCGGGCGGCAAAUGCAAGGUUCGCUGG